This 305-nucleotide ribosomal RNA is filed under the name uncultured bacterium. RNAcentral describes it as "bacterial SSU rRNA". It matches the Rfam family "Bacterial small subunit ribosomal RNA", at positions 334 to 656 of the family's 1533-position model. The record is from RNAcentral.
UUAUCCUACGGGGGGCAGCAGUCGGGAAUAUUGCGCAAUGGAGGAAACUCUGACGCAGUGACGCCGCGUGCAGGAAGAAGGUUUUCGGAUUGUAAACUGCUUUAGACAGGGAAGAUAAUGACAGUACCUGUAGAAUAAGCUCCGGCUAACUACGUGCCAGCAGCCGCGGUAAUACGUAUGGUGCAAGCGUUAUCCGGAUUUACUGGGUGUAAAGGGAGCGCAGGCGGCACGGCAAGCCUGAUGUGAAAGCCCGCGGCCCAACCGCGGGACUGCAUUGGGAACUACCGGGCUGGAGUGCCGGAGAG